ACUUUUUUUUUUUUUUUACACUAGCAGUCUUUUUAUAAAAUAACUCUGAUUGUAAUUACCUUGAUAAAACUUGAGACAGGAAAGGAGAGGCAGUGGGAGAUGCUGAUACCUGUAUAUCAUACACACACUAAUGUGAAAAUAAUUCUAUUUAACAGGGAUAUCACAGAUAGACAUUCGUAGCUUUUGUAGAAUUUUGUAAAUUAUUUAAAACGCUCUAAGGAAAUAUUUUUUAUAAUGAUUUUUAGGGCUUGCAUUCCUACAGGAUGCUGUAGUUACUGUAGAUAAGAUAUUGGCUAAUUACACUUUAAAUUAUGAGGCCUCUAAUUGUCUCUCAAAGGGAAACCUGUUUGCGCACAGAAUUUAUUUGGGAACCUGUUAGGACAUCCUAGGAAAGCCCUGGAUAGCAAUGCAGAUGAUGUGACAGUGGCCACACCUGAGCUGCCUCAGGACAAUCCUGUGGGGUGGGUUUUGCUUGGAGCUCAGAUUUCCCACCUGAGGACUGUGGGAUGAGGUCCCUGAGCAGAACUCGUGGCUGUGGAGAUCCAGCCUGGAAGAUACAAAUGCAAAUUCAGGUAAAUCAAGUGGAUGGCUCUGUCUGCACCUCCUGUGCAAAGGGAUCUCAGCAGCUGCUCAAAAUCCUUUUGAAUACCCAGAACCUCCUGCUAGCAGAUGAUUCCAAGCACAAUUGCAGUCCAAGACAAGUGAAGGAGUGUGUCUGUUCAGACAACAUGAUUUCCCUGGAUUUUCCUGGAUUUCUGUACUGUUGGGCCUGCAGGGCUCAAACAAUUCCUCGUUACUCUCAACUCUCUCAUUUUGAUGCCCUGCAGUAACCCAGAGAUGGCUUUUGGUUUCCUCAAUGAACUUUCUGGAGCUGAGUGCCCUUAACUUUCCAUUUUCAGAAGUGGUUUUUAAAAUGUUACAUUUCUGUGAACUUUUCACUGACAAUUUUGGUGCAAUAAAGCAAAGCUGGGUUUGCUGUAGGAAGUCACAACACAAAUGGAUUUUUUCAGCCACGGAUAUUUUCAGCACUGUUCUUUCUUCAGGCUCUUUCUCUGCCUCUGUUUCCAGCAGCCAGAAUAAAGCAAUUUUUCACUACUAUCUUUUUAUUUGUAGUGACUUUCAACGGGAUUGAAGUAGCAAUUCACAUCACACACACAAAAAAAAGUGCCCCCACACUGGUUUUGCUGCAAAUUCAAAAGAACUUCUCUCAGCCAAACCACCACUUAGCAUCACUUUGUUUCUCAGUCACUUCAGGAGUCUUCCUCCAGGCUGGCCUUAAACUUGCAAAAUGGAGCAAAAGCAGCCAAGACUGGAUCCAGAAUCCCAUGGUGUCCCUGGUGUGAUGCAGAAUGUAGGCAAAAUACGUUGUAGCAUAGAGUAGUAUCUGUGGCAUGUAGAGAAAUAAACAUCCUUGGUGUGUUUAUGCUGUGGUGCAGCUACGUUUGGAACGUGUUUCUAGUGCUCACUUGGCAUUUCUGACUGUCCAGCCACCUUUUUGUAGCCCUGGGGUCGGUUGGUCGGGUUGUUUAAAGGUCAGUGUGUUAGCUCAUCUCCAUUUUGUGGUAGGAAAAGUGUUUUUUUCCGUAGCUCAGUGCCUGCACUCCCUCUUCACAGGUUUGUCUUUUGCUCUGCCUUGAUUCCGUUGCAGGAUUUGAGCCUUUUGUUUGGAAUAGGUCAAUAGGCUGGUAUUUUAAACUAGAAGUUUUCCAAGUACCUUGCUUUAAAAGGAUUAAACUGUAUACUUAAUUUUCCUAGAGAUCUUGGAAGCACUCUGUACUGUUUGUAUAAAAAGCUGAAUGUUUCUCCUCAAAAGUUUUCAGUAAAUCCACAUUAAGAAUUCAGAGGUGUCUUGUGCCCCUGUCACUGUGUCUGUGUCCUCAGUCCCACUCGUGACCUGAUUCACUCCCAGUUAAAAUGCAAUUCCAAUUACCUUGUGCUUUAAAUAAAACCUGAUUUCAAACAGCACUUUUUUUUUUUUUUUUUUUUAAUUGAUGAACUUGAUUUGUAUAUAGGAACUGGUGUACAUUGCUGAGUUUCUAAUGUUUAAUAAAUGGGGUUCUGCCCGUGGACCGUGAAA
Cyanistes caeruleus (blue tit) is the source of this 2077-nucleotide non-coding RNA. The record is from RefSeq and is a predicted model, not a curated record. Lineage: Eukaryota; Metazoa; Chordata; Aves; Passeriformes; Paridae.